AACUUUUUAAAACUAGAUUGU
Molecule: unclassified non-coding RNA, 21 nt
Filed under: Dictyostelium discoideum
Lineage: Eukaryota; Evosea; Eumycetozoa; Dictyosteliales; Dictyosteliaceae
Source: RNAcentral